AGAGUUUGAUCAUGGCUCAGGAUGAACGCCAGCGGCAGGCCUAACACAUGCAAGUCGAGGGGGCGAUCGGGGAGUUGAAGCUUGCUUCAAUUGCCGGCGACCGGCGCACGGGUGCGUAACGCGUAUGUAACCUACCUAUAACAGGGGCAUAACACUGAGAAAUUGGUACUAAUUCCCCAUAAUAUUCGGAGAGGCAUCUCUCCGGGUUGAAAACUCCGGUGGUUAUAGAUGGACAUGCGUUGUAUUAG
Molecule: ribosomal RNA, 248 nt
Filed under: uncultured bacterium
Lineage: Bacteria
Description: partial 16S ribosomal RNA
Rfam family: Bacterial small subunit ribosomal RNA
Source: RNAcentral